Molecule: unclassified non-coding RNA, 288 nt
Filed under: uncultured fungus
Lineage: Eukaryota; Fungi
Description: partial contains small subunit ribosomal RNA, internal transcribed spacer 1, and 5.8S ribosomal RNA
Rfam family: Eukaryotic small subunit ribosomal RNA (bases 1-73)
Source: RNAcentral
ACAAACUUGGUCAUUUAGAGGAAGUAAAAGUCGUAACAAGGUCUCCGUUGGUGAACCAGCGGAGGGAUCAUUACCGAGUUUACAACUCCCAACCCUUUGUGAACCUUACCUACCGUUGCUUCGGCGGACCGCCCCGGGUGCUGCGUGCCCCGGACCCAGGCGCCCGCCGGGGACCAACCAAACCCUGUUUCUUAAACAUGUGUAUCAUCUGAGCGAGCCGAAAGGCAACAAACAAUCAAAACUUUCAACAACGGAUCUCUUGGUUCUGGCAUCGAUGAAGAACGCAGC